This 249-nucleotide ribosomal RNA is filed under the name uncultured Syntrophobacteraceae bacterium. RNAcentral's name for it is "partial 16S ribosomal RNA". It matches the Rfam family "Bacterial small subunit ribosomal RNA", at positions 355 to 595 of the family's 1533-position model. Lineage: Bacteria; Pseudomonadati; Thermodesulfobacteriota; Syntrophobacteria; Syntrophobacterales; Syntrophobacteraceae. The record is from RNAcentral.
UGGGGAAUCUUGGGCAAUGGGGGCAACCCUGACCCAGCGACGCCGCGUGGGUGAUGAAGGCCUUCGGGUCGUAAAGCCCUGUCAGGCGGGACGAAGCCGCGGGGGGCGAAGAGCCCCCGGCGCUGACGGUACCGCCGAAGGAAGCACCGGCCAACUCCGUGCCAGCAGCCGCGGUAAGACGGAGGGUGCAAGCGUUGCUCGGAAUCACUGGGCGUAAAGGGUGCGUAGGCGGCCCGGGGCGGCUUUUGU